GGACUCGUAUUCAUUUUUUAAUAUUUUCGGGUCUUUUAGUCAAGAUAAAAUAAUGAAGCGCGUCUUACGCGCACUACACACUAGCAUUAGCUGUUCUCCUAAUCUAUCGAUUAGCUCAGCUGAUACAUCACCUUUUUUUUUUGUUAAACUUCACUCAGCCGAUGACGUCAUUUUAAAGAAGAUCAUAGUUACACUUCUUUAGAGAAAAUAUACUCCAAUUACAAUACAUCUUUUUUUUUUUUUUUGAAAAAAGGGCUUAAUUACAAUACAUCUUCACAUCAUCGUAAAUCGAUUUACUUUUGAAUGUUUAUCAACAGUGUUCAAUUGGGUUAUCUUCUGUUACAUUUUGUUUUUAUAAUCAAUUUAAUUUUUAUCUCCUAGAUCAAUCAUUUUGAUGUUGACAUUAUUCAUUUCUGUUAGAAGACGGGGCAUGAACCUCAAUUUUUGAUAUAAAAAAUUUGUAUUUGUUUGUAUAUGAGAGUUGUUAGUUUGUUCUUGUCAAAACAAAAUUAGAUUUUAAUAAUUUAGUUUGUAAUAUGUGUAUAACUGUGUAUAUUAUUUUGAUU
Molecule: long non-coding RNA, 566 nt
Filed under: Brassica rapa (field mustard)
Lineage: Eukaryota; Viridiplantae; Streptophyta; Magnoliopsida; Brassicales; Brassicaceae
Description: long non-coding RNA (BRAP_LNC006035)
Source: RNAcentral